AGCAGGGUGGCUUAGUGUAUGGAGCAUGGGCCUGAGAGUCAGAAGGACCUGGGUUCUAAUCCCAGCUCUGUCA
This 73-nucleotide transfer RNA is filed under the name Ornithorhynchus anatinus (platypus). It matches the Rfam family "tRNA". Rfam says of the family: Transfer RNA (tRNA) molecules are approximately 80 nucleotides in length. Their secondary structure includes four short double-helical elements and three loops (D, anti-codon, and T loops). Lineage: Eukaryota; Metazoa; Chordata; Mammalia; Monotremata; Ornithorhynchidae. The record is from Rfam by way of RNAcentral.